UUUUUAGUAUAAGUAUGACCCAUGUACUAUUUGGGCUAUACUCAUACUAAAA
Molecule: microRNA precursor, 52 nt
Filed under: Loxodonta africana (African savanna elephant)
Lineage: Eukaryota; Metazoa; Chordata; Mammalia; Proboscidea; Elephantidae
Description: mir-1302 microRNA precursor family
Rfam family: mir-1302 microRNA precursor family
Source: Rfam by way of RNAcentral